This 73-nucleotide transfer RNA is filed under the name Chlamydia trachomatis. Its description in RNAcentral is "tRNA-Ala". It matches the Rfam family "tRNA". From Rfam's summary of the family: Transfer RNA (tRNA) molecules are approximately 80 nucleotides in length. Their secondary structure includes four short double-helical elements and three loops (D, anti-codon, and T loops). The record is from RNAcentral. Lineage: Bacteria; Pseudomonadati; Chlamydiota; Chlamydiia; Chlamydiales; Chlamydiaceae.
GGGGACUUAGCUCAGUUGGGAGAGCGCCUGCCUUGCAAGCAGGAGGUCAGGAGUUCGAAUCUCCUAGUCUCCA